AGGACGAACGCUGGCGGCGUGCUUAACACAUGCAAGUCGAGCGGAAAGGCCCUUCGGGGUACUCGAGCGGCGAACGGGUGAGUAACACGUGAGCAACCUGCCCCUGGCUCUGGGAUAGCCUCCGGAAACGGGGAUUAAUACCGGACAUGACCUGCUGCCGCAUGGUGGCGGGUGGAAAGUUUUUCGGCCAGGGUGGGGCUCGCGGCCUAUCAGCUUGUUGGGGGGGUGACGGCCCACCAAGGCGACGACGGGUAGCCGGCCUGAGAGGGCGACCGGCCACACUGGGACUGAGACACGGCCCAGACUCCUACGGGAGGCAGCAGUGGGGAAUAUUGCGCAAUGGGCGGAAGCCUGACGCAGCGACGCCGCGUGCGGGAUGAAGGCCUUCGGGUUGUAAACCGCUUUCACCAGGGGCGAAGCGAGAGUGACGGUACCUGGGGAAGAAGGCGCCGGCUAACGUACGCGCCAGCAGCCGC
This 476-nucleotide ribosomal RNA is filed under the name uncultured bacterium. RNAcentral's name for it is "SSU rRNA". It matches the Rfam family "Bacterial small subunit ribosomal RNA", at positions 26 to 518 of the family's 1533-position model. The record is from RNAcentral.